AAAAUGACUCUCGGCAACGGAUAUCUCGGCUCUCGCAUCGAUGAAGAACGUAGCGAAAUGCGAUACUUGGUGUGAAUUGCAGAAUCCCGUGAACCAUCGAGUUUUUGAACGCAAGUUGCGCCCGAAGCCUUUCGGUUGAGGGCACGUCUGCCUGGGUGUCAUAU
This 164-nucleotide ribosomal RNA is filed under the name Piriqueta asperifolia. RNAcentral's name for it is "5.8S ribosomal RNA". It matches the Rfam family "5.8S ribosomal RNA". Rfam says of the family: 5.8S ribosomal RNA (5.8S rRNA) is a component of the large subunit of the eukaryotic ribosome. It is transcribed by RNA polymerase I as part of the 45S precursor that also contains 18S and 28S rRNA. The record is from RNAcentral. Lineage: Eukaryota; Viridiplantae; Streptophyta; Magnoliopsida; Malpighiales; Passifloraceae.